RNAcentral lists this ribosomal RNA (672 nucleotides) under uncultured Lachnospiraceae bacterium. Its description in RNAcentral is "bacterial SSU rRNA". It matches the Rfam family "Bacterial small subunit ribosomal RNA", at positions 54 to 736 of the family's 1533-position model. Lineage: Bacteria; Bacillati; Bacillota; Clostridia; Lachnospirales; Lachnospiraceae. The record is from RNAcentral.
CGAGCGAAGCAUUUAAAGGAAGUUUUCGGAUGGAAUUUGGAAUGACUGAGCGGCGGACGGGUGAGUAACGCGUGGGUAACCUGCCUCAUACAGGGGGAUAACAGUUAGAAAUGACUGCUAAUACCGCAUAAGCACACAGUACCGCAUGGUACAGUGUGAAAAACUCCGGUGGUAUGAGAUGGACCCGCGUCUGAUUAGCUGGUUGGCGGGGUAACGGCCCACCAAGGCGACGAUCAGUAGCCGACCUGAGAGGGUGACCGGCCACAUUGGGACUGAGACACGGCCCAAACUCCUACGGGAGGCAGCAGUGGGGAAUAUUGCACAAUGGGGGAAACCCUGAUGCAGCAACGCCGCGUGAGUGAAGAAGUAUUUCGGUAUGUAAAGCUCUAUCAGCAGGGAAGAAAGUGACGGUACCUGACUAAGAAGCCCCGGCUAACUACGUGCCAGCAGCCGCGGUAAUACGUAGGGGGCAAGCGUUAUCCGGAUUUACUGGGUGUAAAGGGAGCGUAGACGGCACAGCAAGUCUGAAGUGAAAUCCCCGGGCUCAACCCGGGAACUGCUUUGGAAACUGUUGGGCUGGAGUGCUGGAGAGGCAAGCGGAAUUCCUAGUGUAGCGGUGAAAUGCGUAGAUAUUAGGAGGAACACCAGUGGCGAAGGCGGCUUGCUGGACAG